UGAGCAAUCUGCCCUUCUCUUUGGAAUAAGCGUUGGAAACGACGUCUAAUGCCGAAUACGACCUCCUUUCGCAUGAUCGGAGGUGGAAAGCUCCGGCGGUCAAGGAUGGGCUCGCGGCCUAUCAGCUUGUUGGUGAGGUAACGGCUCACCAAGGCUUCGACGGGUAGCCGGCCUGAGAGGGCGACCGGCCACACUGGGACUGAGAUACGGCCCAGACUCCGUACGGGAGGCAGCAGG
RNAcentral lists this ribosomal RNA (237 nucleotides) under uncultured bacterium. RNAcentral's name for it is "partial 16S ribosomal RNA". It matches the Rfam family "Bacterial small subunit ribosomal RNA", at positions 118 to 354 of the family's 1533-position model. The record is from RNAcentral.